UUUUUGAAAGGGAAACGAUUGAAGUCAGUCAUGCCGGUGGGAAUCAACUUAGGGGAAACUCUGGGUGCACUUCUUCGCUUGGCAGGUCAACGUCGAUUUUGAAUGUCAUAAAAUAAUUGGGGGAAGGUAGCUCCUUCGGGAGUGUUAUAGCCCUUGAUAGAUGUGAUGUUUGGGGUCGAGGAUUGCAACGGAUACCCUUCGGGGCUAGCCGCCUGAUCUCUAAUUGGUGUUGGGUUACGGACAGCAUGCUGACCGUGAUCUAAUUACUGGUUAAAAGGUUAGAGUGUGCAUAAAUUCGUUAAGGAUGUUGACG
This 313-nucleotide ribosomal RNA is filed under the name Gigaspora margarita. Its description in RNAcentral is "eukaryotic LSU rRNA". The record is from RNAcentral. Lineage: Eukaryota; Fungi; Glomeromycota; Glomeromycetes; Diversisporales; Gigasporaceae.